AGUUGAUGGGUUCAAGAGGCGAGGGUAAGGUAGCUCCGUGGCUUGUGGGUGGCUAUGUCAUGCUCGUGUGUGGCACUGGCUCUAUGCUUAAAGCUUAAGGCUUUGUAGCAGUGGCAGUGGAAGCUUUGGUAGUGGCAAUAAGAGACUGGCUUCGGAUUUUUGGAGGAUUUGGUAAUUGGCAGUGGCAGUAGGAGAAGGCAAUGGCACUUUGGAAUUGUAAUUUGUUAUUUUGAUAUUUGUGUUUUGUGUCAGCAUUGCUCAUUCUCAAAUUUGGCCAUAGCAUUGGUAAUGGCACUGCAUUUCUCAAUCUUCAAUUUUACCUUUUAUAUAUGUUUAAUUCUUGAUCAAUUUAUAUUUGUAUUAUUAAACAUUAGUAUUUUAAAUUUGUAUAUGUAUUGUAACUUGUAAGCUUAUAAUAUUUAGUUAAUUGCCUAUAUUUGAUUCAGAACCAAAUGUAAAAACAAUACAGAAAUGCAAUUUUGUUUAUUUGUUUAAGAA
Ziziphus jujuba (common jujube) is the source of this 498-nucleotide long non-coding RNA. RefSeq lists it as uncharacterized. NCBI's taxonomy places the organism in Eukaryota, Viridiplantae, Streptophyta, Magnoliopsida, Rosales, Rhamnaceae. The transcript has 2 exons. The record is from RefSeq and is a predicted model, not a curated record.